GGACGGGUGAGUAACGCGUAAGAAUCUAACUUCAGGACGGGGACAACAGUUGGAAACGACUGCUAAUACCCGAUGUGCCGGGAGGUGAAACCUAAUUGGCCUGAAGAAGAGCUUGCGUCUGAUUAGCUAGUUGGUGGGGUAAAGGCCUACCAAGGCGACGAUCAGUAGCUGGUCUGAGAGGAUGAGCAGCCACACUGGGACUGAGACACGGCCCAGACUCCUACGGGAGGCAGCAGUGGGGAAUUUUCCGCAAUGGGCGAAAGCCUGACGGAGCAACGCCGCGUGAGGGAGGAAGGUCUUUGGAUUGUAAACCUCUUUUCUCAAGGAAGAAGUUCUGACGGUACUUGAGGAAUCAGCCUCGGCUAACUCCGUGCCAGCAGCCGCGGUAAUACGGGGGAGGCAAGCGUUAUCCGGAAUUAUUGGGCGUAAAGCGUCCGCAGGUGGUCAGCCAAGUCUGCUGUCAAAUCAGGUUGCUUAACGACCUAAAGGCGGUGGAAACUGGCAGACUAGAGAGCAGUAGGGGUAGCAGGAAUUCCCAGUGUAGCGGUGAAAUGCGUAGAGAUUGGGAAGAACAUCGGUGGCGAAAGCGUGCUACUGGGCUGUAUCUGACACUCAGGGACGAAAGCUAGGGGAGCGAAAGGGAUUAGAUACC
This 652-nucleotide ribosomal RNA is filed under the name Microcystis viridis UADFM5. RNAcentral describes it as "bacterial SSU rRNA". It matches the Rfam family "Bacterial small subunit ribosomal RNA", at positions 100 to 786 of the family's 1533-position model. Lineage: Bacteria; Bacillati; Cyanobacteriota; Cyanophyceae; Chroococcales; Microcystaceae. The record is from RNAcentral.